This 57-nucleotide ribosomal RNA is filed under the name Aconitum heterophyllum. RNAcentral describes it as "partial 18S ribosomal RNA". Lineage: Eukaryota; Viridiplantae; Streptophyta; Magnoliopsida; Ranunculales; Ranunculaceae. The record is from RNAcentral.
CGGAAACAAAGGUUUUCCGGGAAGGGGGAACCCUGCGGGAAAGGAUUUCUUUGUUCG